Molecule: ribosomal RNA, 383 nt
Filed under: uncultured eukaryote
Lineage: Eukaryota
Description: partial 18S ribosomal RNA
Rfam family: Eukaryotic small subunit ribosomal RNA
Source: RNAcentral
CAAUAGCGUAUAUUAAAGUUGUUGCAGUUAAAAAGUUCGUAGUUGGAUUUCUGGUGGGAGCGAUCGGUCUGGCGCUUAGCGCGAGUACUUGCAUCGUCUCCGGCCAUCCUUGGGGAGAGUCUGUCUGGCAUUAAGUUGUCGGGCAGAGGAUCCUCAUCGUUUACUGUGAAAAAAUUAGAGUGUUCAAAGCAGGCUUAUGCCGUUGAAUAUAUUAGCAUGGAAUAAUAAGAUAGGACUUUGGUACUAUUUUGUUGGUUUGCGCACCAAAGUAAUGAUUAAUAGGGACAGUUGGGGGUAUUCGUAUUCCGUUGUCAGAGGUGAAAUUCUUGGAUUUACGGAAGACGAACUACUGCGAAAGCAUUUACCAAGGAUGUUUUCAUUAA